RNAcentral lists this ribosomal RNA (253 nucleotides) under uncultured bacterium. RNAcentral describes it as "partial 16S ribosomal RNA". It matches the Rfam family "Bacterial small subunit ribosomal RNA", at positions 524 to 776 of the family's 1533-position model. The record is from RNAcentral.
UACGUAGGGUGCAAGCGUUGUCCGGAAUUAUUGGGCGUAAAGAGCUCGUAGGCGGUUUGUCGCGUCGAAUGUGAAAACCCGGGGCUCAACCCCGGGCCUGCAUUCGAUACGGGCAGACUAGAGUUCGGUAGGGGAGUCUGGAAUUCCUGAUGUAGCGGUGAAAUGCGCAGAUAUCAGGAGGAACACCGGUGGCGAAGGCGGGACUCUGGGCCUGUUCUGACGCUGAGGCGCGAAAGCUAGGGGAGCGAACAGG